RNAcentral lists this ribosomal RNA (497 nucleotides) under uncultured bacterium. Its description in RNAcentral is "partial 16S ribosomal RNA". It matches the Rfam family "Bacterial small subunit ribosomal RNA", at positions 28 to 507 of the family's 1533-position model. The record is from RNAcentral.
GAUGAACGCUGGCGGCGUGCCUAAUACAUGCAAGUCGAGCGAACAGAUAAGGAGCUUGCUCCUUUGACGUUAGCGGCGGACGGGUGAGUAACACGUGGGUAACCUACCUAUAAGACUGGGAUAACUUCGGGAAACCGGAGCUAAUACCGGAUAACAUUUGGAACCGCAUGGUUCUAAAGUGAAAGAUGGUUUUGCUAUCACUUAUAGAUGGACCCGCGCCGUAUUAGCUAGUUGGUAAGGUAACGGCUUACCAAGGCAACGAUACGUAGCCGACCUGAGAGGCUGAUCGGCCACAUUGGAACUGAGACACGGUCCAGACUCCUACGGGAGGCAGCAGUAGGGAAUCUUCCGCAAUGGGCGAAAGCCUGACGGAGCAACGCCGCGUGAGUGAUGAAGGGUUUCGGCUCGUAAAACUCUGUUAUUAGGGAAGAACAAACGUGUAAGUAACUGUGCACGUCUUGACGGUACCUAAUCAGAAAGCCACGGCUAACUACGUG